Hippopotamus amphibius kiboko is the source of this 719-nucleotide long non-coding RNA. RefSeq lists it as uncharacterized. Lineage: Eukaryota; Metazoa; Chordata; Mammalia; Artiodactyla; Hippopotamidae. The transcript has 5 exons. The record is from RefSeq and is a predicted model, not a curated record.
CCCGCACCUCGCGGCCGGCACCCCGCGGCCCGCGUCGGGCCGCGGCCCCCCGCCGCCGCCUCUUUGUCUGCACCCGUCGCGGCUCCGGGGAGGCGAACCCCAGACCCCUGGCGCGCCCGCCGUCCCGCCCUCAGAUCCUCACGAGGACCGGGAUGGGGAGGAAGGUGCGAGGGUAACCCGAGAGGCCUGGACCGAGGGGCUUCUCAUCAUCUCGCAAGUUUUUGGAGGAUGAGAGGCUGAUAGAAGAAUACCUGCCUUUAGUAGAGAAAAGGAAGCUGCACGGAACUUCAGUGGGGAUACUCAUAAGGGGGAGGAUCCUGGAAAAGCACAGGCAUCAAGAAGUGAUAAAUGUCCACUUCCCCUUCUAAGACUUAAGUGUUCAAGUUCAAAGCCAUCAUAAGAGCAACUGCUGUAUUUGAAUAAACAUCUCACCAGUCAAAAUGGACUAGAGGUCUUAUUCCUCUCUGCAUGAAGAGGUCUCAGAAUUGCAUAUGAUUGUACAGACUGCACCAAGUGAUCACGUGAUGUGAGAAUUCUCAGCUAAAGAACCGAAGAGACUUAAAAUACUUUGCUUGAAAUAAAUAUGGUAGCAGAUUUUUAAAAAUAGCCACAAUAUUUUACAGCUCAUCUCUUCAACAGGCGAAAUCUUUUUUCCCAUUCCUUGAAUCUGAGCUGGUCUUAGCAACUUGCAAUAGGAUUUGGUAGAACUGACAUUGUGU